AACGCACAUUGCGCCCAUUAGUAUUCUAGUGGGCAUGCCUGUUCGAGCGUCAUUUCAACCCUCAAGCCCUGUUGCUUGGUAUUGGGAGCCUGCCGUAGGGCAGCUCCUUAAAAUGAGCUGGCAGAGUUGUGGUAAACUCUAAGCGUAGUAAAUCUUCUCGCUUCUGAGGCUGCCGCGGCGAUAGCCACGAAACCUAUUACUUUCUAGUGGUUGACCUCGGAUCAGGUAGGAAUACCCGCUGAACUUAA
RNAcentral lists this unclassified non-coding RNA (248 nucleotides) under uncultured fungus. RNAcentral's name for it is "partial contains 5.8S ribosomal RNA, internal transcribed spacer 2, and large subunit ribosomal RNA". The record is from RNAcentral. Lineage: Eukaryota; Fungi.